This 397-nucleotide ribosomal RNA is filed under the name uncultured bacterium. RNAcentral's name for it is "bacterial SSU rRNA". It matches the Rfam family "Bacterial small subunit ribosomal RNA", at positions 505 to 898 of the family's 1533-position model. The record is from RNAcentral.
GUGCCAGCCGCCGCGGUAAUACGGGGGGAGCAAGCGUUGUUCGGAUUUACUGGGCGUAAAGGGCGCGUAGGCGGCCUCCGCAAGUCAGUUGUGAAAUCUCCGAGCUUAACUCGGAAAGGUCAACUGAUACUGCGGGGCUAGAGUGCGGAAGGGGCAACUGGAAUUCUUGGUGUAGCGGUGAAAUGCGUAGAUAUCAAGAGGAACACCUGCGGCGAAGGCGGGUUGCUGGGCCGACACUGACGCUGAGGCGCGAAAGCUAGGGGAGCGAACGGGAUUAGAUACCCCGGUAGUCCUAGCCUUAAACGAUGAAUGCUUGGUGUCUGGGGUUAUAUAGUCCCCGGGUGCCGUCGCUAACGCUUUAAGCAUUCCGCCUGGGGAGUACGGUCGCAAGACUGAA